CCUACGGGAGGCAGCAGUGAGGAAUAUUGGUCAAUGGCCGAGAGGCUGAACCAGCCAAGUCGCGUGAAGGAUGACUGCCCUACGGGUUGUAAACCUCUUUUGCAGGGGAAUAAAGAGCGGGACGUGUCCCGCCUUGUAUGUACCAUAUGAAUAAGCAUCGGCUAACUCCGUGCCAGCAGCCGCGGUAAUACGGAGGAUCCGAGCGUUAUCCGGAUUUAUUGGGUUUAAAGGGUGCGUAGGCGGAAGCUUAAGUCAGUGGUAAAAGUUUGAGGCUCAACCGUAUACCGGCGGUGAAUAUGCGUUUCUUGAGUGGGAGAGAAGUACGCGGAAUGCGUGGUGUAGCGGUGAAAUGCCUAGAUAUCACGCAGAACUCCGAUUGCGAAGGCAGCGUACCGGGGCUCAAAUGACGCUCAUGCACGAAAGCGGGGGUAUCGAACAGGAUUAGAUACCCGAGUAGUC
Molecule: ribosomal RNA, 459 nt
Filed under: uncultured bacterium
Lineage: Bacteria
Description: partial 16S ribosomal RNA
Rfam family: Bacterial small subunit ribosomal RNA
Source: RNAcentral